This 253-nucleotide ribosomal RNA is filed under the name uncultured bacterium. Its description in RNAcentral is "partial 16S ribosomal RNA". It matches the Rfam family "Bacterial small subunit ribosomal RNA", at positions 524 to 776 of the family's 1533-position model. The record is from RNAcentral.
UACGAAGGGGGCUAGCGUUGCUCGGAAUCACUGGGCGUAACGGGUGCGUAGGCGGGUCUUUAAGUCCGGGGUGAAAUCCUGGAGCUCAACUCCAGAACUGCCUUUGAUACUGAAGAUCUUGAGUUCGGGAGAGGUGAGUGGAACUGCGAGUGUAGAGGUGAAAUUCGUAGAUAUUCGCAAGAACACCAGUGGCGAAGGCGGCUCACUGGCCCGAUACUGACGCUGAGGCACGAAAGCGUGGGGAGCAAACAGG